CAAAUCUUUUACCACACUCAGAACAGACAAAUGUUUUUGCCCUGUAUGAAUUACCAUGUGUCAGUCUAAGUUGUCCUUUCGUCCAAAUCUUUGACCACACUCAGAACAGACAAAUGCUUUUUUCCUUGUAUGAAUUAUCACGUGUCUGUCCAGGUGGC
Thalassophryne amazonica is the source of this 158-nucleotide long non-coding RNA. RefSeq lists it as uncharacterized. The transcript has 4 exons. NCBI's taxonomy places the organism in Eukaryota, Metazoa, Chordata, Actinopteri, Batrachoidiformes, Batrachoididae. The record is from RefSeq and is a predicted model, not a curated record.